ACGUUCCUCUGUUCCGUUGUUUCUACGAGGGUUUCUUGGUUGCUACCUCGACUUUUUUCGUCCUAAUUAUUAUUCUCCGUCACAUUCUUGCAGAAAGAAAUAAAAGAUGAUCGAAUAUGCAGAACACUUAAAAACAAUUUUUUGAAGAUAAUUGAGAAUGGAUAUAGAAACUAUUUUCUGUAUUUUAAUGAUCAUUCGUCGAUUUCGAUAUAAUAAUUGUUGAUGGAAAUUAUCGAUACUACGAUCGAUGGAAUCGAAAAUAAGCUAAGUUCAGCUUGGACUACACGAAGAGUUGAAUAUUUAUAAAAGUUUGAUAGACAUAUAAAAUACAUAUAAAAAAAUAGAUUUUUUGAUUUUAACUGGAUAAUAGAAUUUCACUUUUUUAAUUUAAUUCUUUUUUAUGCUACUAACAUAAAACAAAUUUGCUAUAUUUUUCAAUAGACGAUGCAGCACAAUGUGCACAAUCGAUAAUCGAUCUAGUUUAAUUAUACGAUCAGUAUGUCGAAGUCAAUGGCCUCGAAACAAAGAACCGACAUAAAAAGAAGAUAACUAUUCAAUUGUUACCCACCUUGAAAGUCAAUGUCAGUCAAUGGCGGCCAACAUGGAAACUUAUUAUCCGUAAUCGAUAUGUCUGAAAAUCGAUCGGUUUCAAGGAACGAUUAUUGUGUUCGAGGAACGUAUACAUAUAAUUAGCAACAACG
Long non-coding RNA from Apis laboriosa (Himalayan honeybee), 701 nucleotides. RefSeq lists it as uncharacterized. The record is from RefSeq and is a predicted model, not a curated record. NCBI's taxonomy places the organism in Eukaryota, Metazoa, Arthropoda, Insecta, Hymenoptera, Apidae. The transcript has 3 exons.